Molecule: ribosomal RNA, 369 nt
Filed under: uncultured organism
Description: partial 16S ribosomal RNA
Rfam family: Bacterial small subunit ribosomal RNA
Source: RNAcentral
GGAGGGGGCAAGCGUUGCUCGGAUUUACUGGGCGUAAAGGGUCCGCAGGCGGUUGAGCAAGUUAGAUGUGAAAGCUCAAGGCUUAACCUUGAAAAUGCAUCUAAAACUGCCCGACUAGAGUCCAAGAGGGGUCGGCGGAAUUCCCGGUGUAGCGGUGAAAUGCGUAGAUGUCGGGAGGAACACCAGUGGCGAAGGCGGCCGACUGGCUUGGAACUGACGCUCAGGGACGAAAGCGUGGGUAGCGAACCGGAUUAGAUACCCGGGGGUAGUCCACGCCCUAAACGAUGGAUGCUAGGUGCGGGGAUUUUAUCUCCCUUGCCGAAGCUAACGCAUUAAGCAUCCCGCCUGGGGAGUACGGUCGCAAGGCUG